This 31-nucleotide non-coding RNA is filed under the name Rattus norvegicus (Norway rat). The record is from RNAcentral. Lineage: Eukaryota; Metazoa; Chordata; Mammalia; Rodentia; Muridae.
UGUGUCGACACUGCCUUCUGGCUUAGGCUCA